This 444-nucleotide ribosomal RNA is filed under the name uncultured bacterium. RNAcentral describes it as "bacterial SSU rRNA". It matches the Rfam family "Bacterial small subunit ribosomal RNA", at positions 958 to 1399 of the family's 1533-position model. The record is from RNAcentral.
AACGCGAAGAACCUUACCAGGCUUUGACAUGCUCUCUGUAGACCCUAGAAAUAGGAUCUUUCACCUCGGGUGGGAGAUGCACAGGUGCUGCAUGGCUGUCGUCAGCUCGUGUCGUGAGAUGUUGGGUUAAGUCCCGCAACGAGCGCAACCCUCGUCCCCUGUUGCUAACGCGUAAUGGCGAGAACUCUGGGGAAACUGCCGGUGAUAAGCCGGAGGAAGGUGGGGAUGACGUCAAGUCCUCAUGGCCCUUACAGCCUGGGCUACACACGUGUUACAAUGGCGUUGACAAUGCGUUGCUACCCUGCAAGGGGAUGCCAAUCGCAAAAAGACGCCUCAGUUCGGAUUGUACUCUGCAACUCGAGUACAUGAAGCUGGAAUCGCUAGUAAUCGCGCAUCAUCGCGGCGCGGUGAAUACGUUCCCGGGCUUGUACACACCGCUCGCGA